RNAcentral lists this ribosomal RNA (292 nucleotides) under uncultured bacterium. RNAcentral's name for it is "partial 16S ribosomal RNA". The record is from RNAcentral. RNAcentral also lists the same sequence under 2 other names.
GGACUACUGGGGUAUCUAAUCCCGUUUGCUCCCCUGGCUUUCGCGCCUCAGCGUCAGAAGAGAUCCAGCACGUCGCUUUCGCCACCGGCGUUCCUUCUGAUAUCAACGCAUUUCACCGCUCCACCAGAAGUUCCACAUGCCCCUACCUCCCUCUAGACCAGCGGUUUCCAAGGCACUUUUCCGGUUAAGCCGAAAGAUUUCACCCCGGACCCUCUGGCCCGCCUACGCGCCCUUUAAGCCCAGUGAUUCCGAACAACGUUUGGACGGUUCGUCUUACCGCGGCUGCUGGCAC